CUCCAGGUGUAAGUACUUCACCUACUCUCCAGGUGUAAGUACUUCACCUACUCUCCAGGUGUAAGUACUUCACCUACUCUCCAGGUGUAAGUACUUCACCUACUCUCCAGGUGAAGUGAAUGGGCUUCUCAUUUGGUGGCUUCUCUAGUUGUGGAGCACAGGCUUUUGAGCACACGGGCUUCAGUACUUACAGCACACGGGCUCUGUAUUUGCGGUUCCCUGGCUCUACGAGUACAGGCUCAACAGUUGUGGUGCACGGGCUUCGUUACUCCGUGGCAUGUGGGAUCUUGCAAGAUCAGGGAUCGAACCCGCGUCUCCUGCACUGGCAGGUGGAUUCUUUACCACUGAGCCACCAGGGAAGCCCUCAAUCACAUUACAUUUCUUGUGCACUUUAUUAUUAUGACAUCAGCUUCACCUCAGAUCAUCAGGCAUUAGAUCCCAGAAAGUGGGACUCCUGCUACAGGAUUAAAGGCACAGUCAGCCCUCAGUAUUUGUGGGAGAACUGCUUUCAAGCCCCUCUGCCGAUAUCAAAAUCCAUGGAGGCUGGAGUCCCAUCAUUGGCCUCUGUAUUCUCGGACGCAGAACUGGUCAAUACGAGGACCAAUUGUACUCAGCUUUGACUUAGUGGAAUGCCUGCAGUUGCAUCAUGUGACUUGUGGGAUCUUAGUUCCCCAUCCAAGGAUCAAGUCCAAGCCCGUUGCCGUGGAAGGGGAGUCUUAACCAUUGGCCUGCCAGGGAAGUCCUUCCAAAUUUAGAAGAAUAAAUAUAAGACACAAACAGAUAAUUCAUGACAGAUGUAAUAUUGAUUCAAAUGACUAAAAAUAUUUUAAACUUUACAGUUCUAUCAGUAUUGUUAAUCAAAGAUCAUAUUAUUAAUACUUAAGUAAACAACAUUCAGUGCUGGUGAGAAUGUAGAGAUAAUACAGAUUUGGCCAAAAUGUCUGUAAAACAAUCUGACCUUAUAUAGCAAGAGACUUAAAACACUCAGGCUCUUUGAACCAAUAACUCUAUUUUCCAGAAUAGCUUCUAAGGAAAUAAUCAGAAAUGUGAACACAGUUUUAUGCACAAAACAUAUCCAUCAUAGCAUAAUUUAUAAUUGAAAACAAUCUAAAUAUUCAGUAAGAGUGAAAG
This is a long non-coding RNA of Bos taurus (domestic cattle), 1131 nucleotides long. Lineage: Eukaryota; Metazoa; Chordata; Mammalia; Artiodactyla; Bovidae. The record is from Ensembl.